CCCCAAGAAAAAAGAAAUCAUAUGUCUACACAAAGACUUGUACAUGAAUAUUAAUGUCAUCUUUAUUUGUAAUUGCCUAAAGCUGGAAACAACAAGCAAAUGUCCAUCAGCAGAGCAACAUCCAGCCCUCCUCAUCUACCACAGAGCAGAACAGAGAGAUGAGUCCGUGUCAACUCUGGCUGUAUGGAGGCAAAGCAGGCAGUGACUGUGUUGUGAGAACUUUGCCAUUAGGAUUUAGAGCAACGACGCCAGGAAAUGAAGCUGAGGAAACUGAAGCUUAAAAAUGUUAAACAACCUGCCCAAACCAAUCCAGUUGUUGAAGAGGAAAACAAACACACCUCAAAUACUGCUGUCAGCAUGGUCAUUUGGAAACCAGCAUGCCU
Molecule: long non-coding RNA, 383 nt
Organism: Gorilla gorilla gorilla (western lowland gorilla)
Lineage: Eukaryota; Metazoa; Chordata; Mammalia; Primates; Hominidae
Exons: 3
Source: RefSeq, a predicted model, not a curated record